GUUGUGACGUUCGAUACAGACGAGAUUCGUAGUGAGCUGCGCGAAAACUCUCAUUCAACUAUCAUUGAAAGCUAACUUAGAGGGUACUUUUGAACACCAUCAUCAUGGCUUACAAAGAACGACUGCCUGAGCCGAAAGGACCUAGGUUUGCCGAUCCGGAUACGUCGAAUUUUCGUACUUUAUAGCAAUGUUCAAAUCUGUGACUCAAGCGGAUGAGGCCUUGGAUUCGGAACACAUCAAGAAGAUUGUUGGGCUCAAGAGAGUAGUCUCGCCUUCUGUUAAAAAGCUUCGUGAAGUUUCUGAUGCAGUCAAUUUAAACAUGCGAGCGCUGCAGACAUAGGGAAUUGCUGAGGAGAUCUCAGGAUUCAUGAUUAUCAACCUGCUGCUGCAGAAGUUUGAAUCUAAAACGUAAACAAGUGGAAGGAGCACAUGUCGUCGGAUUUCUACAGUUUUAUGAAUUCUUGCAGGAACUCUGCCAAAAGACGAAGCGGUUGGCGUUAAGCUUGCCGAUCCUGCACGUUUCAAUCCUCCUCUUUGGUGCGACCGUUUUUUAUGAUCUCCUCUGCUUAGGCCAAAUCAAGCUCACCGAUGGCCUGCCUCUUCUACAGAAGACCCGGCUUGGGUGGACAGAAGGUAGUAAGCUCGGCGCUUUUGGCCACGCACAAUUGUCCAGACUCGGAAGCUAAAAUGGAAGCAAGGUUGGAUGAAAUUCUUCAUGUCUUGUGAAGUCGAGAAUUGUGUGGAGGCUGGAAUACCAUAAAAGAAGUAGAUUGUGAAGCACAUUUUGUGAGCCACCUUUCGCGAUUGCUAUCAAGGGAGUAAUCAGUUCGUAUGCCGUUAAGCGUCUUAUACUUAGGCGUAUCAACGAUUCGUCAGUUUGAAGCGAAAAUUGUAAUCCUACACUCCAGGCGCGGUAUUUCACCUUUAUGAGGGAGUACAUUGAUUUGCAUCAUAUGCACCAAGUCAACCCUGAUUCCCGUAGCCUCUGCAAAUAUAU
This is a long non-coding RNA of Drosophila pseudoobscura, 997 nucleotides long. RefSeq lists it as uncharacterized. NCBI's taxonomy places the organism in Eukaryota, Metazoa, Arthropoda, Insecta, Diptera, Drosophilidae. The transcript is spliced from 3 exons. The record is from RefSeq and is a predicted model, not a curated record.